UCACCGGGACCAUCGAGCCCAGAUCUACGGGGAGUCACACUCAAAGUCUUCCCCCGUCUUUCAACCCCACCCGACUUCUCUCUUCCUUGUUCCAAUCCUCCACUCUUCCCUGCCGGAAACGGCGCCCCUUCCUCCUACAGUUCCGCCCGCCAGUCUGGACUCUGGUCUCCCCUCGUGCCCUAGAGUGACACGAAGGACCCCUUCUUCUUUUCCGCGGCCCCUCCUCCCCGCACGCAGGGAGACUGUUGGAGGGGUGGGGUGGAGCCCAGGGAAGAAGAGAAAGGAAGCCAACUGGAUUGGAUCAGCAGCUGCCAUGGAAACUGGAGCUGUAGUAUUGUCAUGAACCGAGGAGGUUGUGCCCCCCAUGGAGGCCCCGCUGGAUUAUCCGAAGGAGACCGAGUCGCUCCCUUCUUGGCGAACUCCAUUCUCGGAUGAGUCUGCCACUCUGUGUGUCUCGGGUCGGGGAGGAAAGGGUCGGGGGGAAAUAGGAUUAAAAACAAAAACCAUCCCUAGAUACUGGCGCGAAGUUCCGAUGGAAGGCGUCUAGGUAGGGAGUGGUGGGGGGGAUUGUCAUUAGGACAAAUCUUUUUGAAUGUCCGUGUAUUUUGUGUAAAACAGAAAUAAGGAAUGGGGCCAGG
Molecule: long non-coding RNA, 638 nt
Organism: Myotis davidii
Lineage: Eukaryota; Metazoa; Chordata; Mammalia; Chiroptera; Vespertilionidae
Exons: 2
Source: RefSeq, a predicted model, not a curated record